GUCUUUGUAGUAUAUCCAUUACCCUGGUCUUGUAAACCAGAAAAGGAGAAUUAGCCUCUCCCUAAGACU
Molecule: transfer RNA, 69 nt
Filed under: Tapirus terrestris (Brazilian tapir)
Lineage: Eukaryota; Metazoa; Chordata; Mammalia; Perissodactyla; Tapiridae
Also listed under: 2 other names
Description: transfer RNA-Thr
Source: RNAcentral